Non-coding RNA from Macaca mulatta (Rhesus monkey), 548 nucleotides. NCBI's taxonomy places the organism in Eukaryota, Metazoa, Chordata, Mammalia, Primates, Cercopithecidae. The record is from RefSeq and is a predicted model, not a curated record.
UCCACUGGUGAAUGAUGUCCUCACCUGGACUGGUUUCCUACAAGACGGCUGCCUUGUGAACAUGUCUCCUAAGCUUCCUUCCUAUCCAGAGAUGGAAGAACAUCAAAACCAUUGGGAUCCUUUUAGUGACAUUUCUUAGAUCGAUUCAGGAGGUAAAUUCAUGUGGAAGUGCUACCAUCUGCUGUCAGUAAUAAUGAACUGAGCAAAUCUGCACUGAGAAAAAUGUCCGUGUGGAAAUACACACUGCCAAUGAACUGUGUUAAGCUUACAACUUAAUAAACACUUCUACUGGAACCAAGUUCUGCUAAAUGGUUUUCCAUGAAAACAGAAAUGAUGGGUCAGAUUUCUAUCUCUGUAACUCCAGAGAAGUUAUAUAGGCAUAUUUCCUCAUGAAAUUUACUUUAGCAAUGGUUAAAUGUCUCAUAAAAUAAGUCUGACAAGAAUACUGUGAAUUGGUUUUAGAACUAUUAGAUGUGACUAUCACAAGGAAAUGAUAAUACUGCACCUUCAUUCUUACACGUAAUAAAUAUGAUGAGUUACUUGGUUCA